Molecule: ribosomal RNA, 250 nt
Filed under: uncultured bacterium
Lineage: Bacteria
Description: partial 16S ribosomal RNA
Rfam family: Bacterial small subunit ribosomal RNA
Source: RNAcentral
UACGUAGGAUCCGAGCGUUGUCCGGAAUCACUGGGCGUAAAGGGCGCGUAGGUGGCCUGGUAAGUCUGUGGUGAAAGCCCGGAGCUCAACUCCGGGUCUGCCAUGGAUACUGCGAGGCUUGAGUGCUGUAGAGGGGGGUAGAAUGCCGGGUGUAGCGGUGGAAUGCGUAGAGAUCCGGCAGAAGACCGGUGGCGAAGGCGGCCCCCUGGGCAGUAACUGACACUGAGGCGCGAAAGCGUGGGGAGCAAAC